Nicotiana tabacum (common tobacco) is the source of this 1361-nucleotide non-coding RNA. The record is from RefSeq and is a predicted model, not a curated record. Lineage: Eukaryota; Viridiplantae; Streptophyta; Magnoliopsida; Solanales; Solanaceae.
CUCAAACUGCUUAGUAAAAACCGUUUUCCUCUUCCCAACAAAAGUCGAUCUUUUUUGAACUCCCACUUUAUCUGUCAAAAUCAUGAAACCACUUCAUCUUCCUACUCAUUUCUUUCAAAAAGACAUAGUAAUCCACUUUCACGGAUUCUUCUCCAUGGAGAAUCAAACAACCCCCCUCCACAUCAAGCAGAUACAUUAAUCAGAAACGGCGCAAAAAAACUUCAAUUACCAAAGGUUAGUUCUUUCAUCAUCAUUACUAUCUCUUAAAAUAAUUUUUAUGUAUUUUUUAUUUGCAAGCAAAUAACUAUUCCACAGGCUCUAUAACUUCUUAGACAAAGUGGAUUCAACUGCUUUUCUUUUUCAAGCACAAUAAAACUUCAAACUAAGUUCAGUUUGCAAUUUGACAUGGAAGAUCAGAAAAAAAUUGUAAGAAAAAUAAAAUAGAUUUACGGAAAGUCUUAACUACUUUUUUCUUUUCAUCCGAUAACAAUGGUAUGAACUUUUGCCCUCUUUUUUCUUUGUUUGGUUUACAUUAAAUUUUUCUUCUGUAGUACUUUUUAGAUAUGUUCUAUAUUGCCAGGUUAUGACAGAAAUUAUGAACCACAAAAAUUUAUGUCUAACAUUUUCCCAAGCAGAAGGAGGUAGACCGAAACUCUUACCAUGUAGGCAUAUAAGUGCUUUGUAACUGUUGGAUAUUGGGUUUGGGUCACGGGUCGCCCAUAUGGACUAACCAUACCGAUUUAGAGGAGAUAAAACCUAAAAGAGGUUACCCAGGGAGUUAAAUAUAGAUAAAUAAAAAAACUGUUGCACGUUAAAAACAUAAUGGGAACGUGCAAUUGUAAGAGCAGCAGUUUUUCCUUUCUUGAAAUCUAUCUCUCUCCUAUAUAUAUCUUCCUUCCUCAACAGAGAAAGAUACGACGAAAUGAUUCUCCCUAAAAGAAAAGAAACACAGUGUGAUAAACAAAGACAAGGUAUUUAGUUCGUGAACAAGGAUUUCAUUUACAAGAGAGACGAAAUUGGAUUCGGGCAAAUGAACAGAUUCUGCAAAAUCUUCCUUUGUUGUUAACAGGUGAAAACUAUUACAUUUGCAUAACUCAACACAUUUUUAUUUUAUUUAUUUUUUCAUCUUGACAAGCACAAAACAGAAUACCGCGUUGGUCAAGAGCAAGAAAUAGAGAUGCCAAGGUAAAUUUGAUUGACAUCAAGUCUAUAAGUUAUUCUUAAAAUUUUCAAUAGUCUACAGGUCACUAACAUUUUUAUUUCUUCGCGCAAGUGGGCAAAAACUUAUCUAAGAAUGUAAAGCCCCAAAAAUUUGCUUUACUGCAUUAGUUUGAAGCUUUAAGUAAAUGUUAUUUAUGCUA